GACGAACGCUGGCGGCGUGCUUAACACAUGCAAGUCGAACGGAAAGGCCUGCUUUCCCUUGUGGAUUGCGGGUACUCGAGUGGCGAACGGGUGAGUAACACGUGAGUGAUCUGCCCCCAACUUGGGUAUAAGCCUGGGAAACUGGGUCUAAUUCCCGAUAGGACUGCAGGGUGGUGCCUGUGGUGGAAAACGAUUUUCUAGUGGUUGGGGAUGAGCUCGCGGCCUAUCAGCUUGUUGGUGGGGUAAUGGCCUACCAAGGCGGCGACGGGUAGCCGGCCUGGGAGGGUGGACGGCCACAUUGGGACUGAGAUACGGCCCAGACUCCUACGGGAGGCAGCAGUGGGGAAUAGUGCACAAUGGGCGGAAGCCUGAUGCAGCGACGCCGCGUGGGGGAUGACGGCCUUCGGGUGGUAAACUCCUUUCGACCGCGAGGAAGCCACCUGGUUGGAAGGGUGGUGACGGUAGUGGUAGAAGAAGCACCGGCUAACUACGUG
RNAcentral lists this ribosomal RNA (494 nucleotides) under uncultured bacterium. Its description in RNAcentral is "partial 16S ribosomal RNA". It matches the Rfam family "Bacterial small subunit ribosomal RNA", at positions 28 to 507 of the family's 1533-position model. The record is from RNAcentral.